Molecule: long non-coding RNA, 927 nt
Filed under: Eutrema salsugineum
Lineage: Eukaryota; Viridiplantae; Streptophyta; Magnoliopsida; Brassicales; Brassicaceae
Description: long non-coding RNA (ESAL_LNC000911)
Source: RNAcentral
GCUAAAGAGGCUUCUCUCUCUUCUCUCUUUCGUAUCCUUGAGAGAGAGAAAGCCUAUGUCCUGUUUGUUUGUUAAUAUUCUGAUUUCGAUCAGAUCUUAUAUGUUUCGGCGAGACCGAAUAAAAAUUCCGACUAGAUUGCUCCUUUUUGCUGUAUCAUAUCUUUUUAGUCGGAUUUUAUAUUUCCGUUUUAACGGAUUUUGUGUUUCAGUUUUUGGAUUUCCUUUUGCUAUUUAAGAUCGAUUCUUCAUAUGGUGAGAGUAAUCUUCACUAGUCCUUAGUGGAGUGAAGAAUCUCUACAUGUUUGAAGAAUUGGUUAUGUUGUGUUCUUAGAUGAUAAAGCAAAAGGUUUUUCCAUGUUUAGUUUCUAUGUCACUCUUCUACAAAUCUGGCUAAUCCCCUUAAGUGAAGCGGUAAGACCUAGAUUCAAAGAUGGUCGUGGAAGCUUAUACUCUAAUGUUCGGCAUCGUCCUCUCCUGACUGGGAGUUAUUUCUCCCUAAUUUCCCUUAAAAAGAAGCCUUUAUCAAGGCGAAGGGUGAAAGUCACGAGCAUGUGAUGAUCGGAAGAAAAUCUUAAGGAGACGAGAAGAUAACCGGCCACUCAGGAUCUAAUUCACUUUCUAUGUAGAAGAUGUUUACAUGAUGGUACUGGCGGAAACAACAAAGUUGUUAAAGCAGCACGGUGGUGAAGAAAGAUGAAGAGUCACCGGCGGCGGAGGACGCCAUGGAAGCGGUGAUGAUCAACACAGAAGUGGUGAUGGAUCAGCUCAAUGGACGACACUUAUUCCUUAGGUUAAUGGGUUUACAUGUAUUCUCAUACAUGUCUCAUUUGUAUUUUACGUUUUAUUGGGCUGUUUGACUUUGGGCUUACGCCUAUGUAUCAUUUACUCUUGCCUUAAUGGCUUCAAUACAAAUCUGAAGUUGACGAC